RNAcentral lists this ribosomal RNA (1556 nucleotides) under human gut metagenome. Its description in RNAcentral is "bacterial LSU rRNA". It matches the Rfam family "Bacterial large subunit ribosomal RNA", at positions 1343 to 2925 of the family's 2925-position model. The record is from RNAcentral.
AUCUAAGGUUUCCAGAGUAAAGCUGAUCUGCUCUGGGUAAGUCGGGGCCUAAGGCGAGGUCGAAAGACGUAGUCGAUGGAUAACAGGUAAAGAUUCCUGUACUAUAUCAUAACAGAACUGUGGGGACGCAGACAGAGAGCAUAAGCCGGGAAUGGAAAAACCGGUACAAGCGAGGUAGGAGUGCAUCAGGCAAAUCCGGUGCACAAUCUGAAGACGUGAUGUGGGGCGUAAAGCCGGAAGUAUGUGAGCUGGCUGCCAAGAAAAGCCGCUAUUGUUUAUGAUAUACCCGUACCGUAAACCGACACAGGUGGAUGAGGAGAGAAUCCUAAGGCCGACGGGAGAAGCAUUGUUAAGGAACUCGGCAAAAUGACUCCGUAACUUCGGGAGAAGGAGUGCCAUGUAAAAGUGGCCGCAGAGAAUUGGCCCAAGCAACUGUUUAGCAAAAACACAGGUCUAUGCAAAACCGAAAGGUGAGGUAUAUGGGCUGACGCCUGCCCGGUGCUGGAAGGUUAAGAGGAGAGGUUAGAGCAAGCGAAGCUUUGAAUUGAAGCCCCAGUAAACGGCGGCCGUAACUAUAACGGUCCUAAGGUAGCGAAAUUCCUUGUCGGGUAAGUUCCGACCCGCACGAAAGGCGUAAUGAUUUGGGCACUGUCUCAACAAUGCACCCGGUGAAAUUGAAAUACCAGUGAAGAUGCUGGUUACCUGCGCCAGGACGGAAAGACCCCAUGGAGCUUUACUCCAGCUUGAUACUGGGAUUCGGUAUUGCAUGUACAGGAUAGGUGGGAGACUGAGAACUGAUGACGCCAGUUGUCAGGGAGUCACUGUUGGGAUACCACCCUUGUAGUAUUGGAUUUCUAACCAGCAGCCGUGAACCGGCUGGGGGACAAUGUCAGGUGGGGAGUUUGACUGGGGCGGUCGCCUCCGAAAGGGUAUCGGAGGCGCUCAAAGGUUCCCUCAGAAUGGUUGGAAACCAUUCGAAGAGUGCAAAGGCAGAAGGGAGCUUGACUGCGACACCGACGGGUGGAGCAGGUACGAAAGUAGGACUUAGUGAUCCGGUGGUAUAAAGUGGGAUUGCCAUCGCUCAACGGAUAAAAGCUACCCUGGGGAUAACAGGCUUAUCACUCCCAAGAGUUCACAUCGACGGAGUGGUUUGGCACCUCGAUGUCGGCUCAUCGCAUCCUGGGGCUGAAGUAGGUCCCAAGGGUUGGGCUGUUCGCCCAUUAAAGCGGUACGCGAGCUGGGUUCAGAACGUCGUGAGACAGUUCGGUCCCUAUCCGGCGUGGGCGUAGGAUAUUUGAGAGGAGCUGCCCUUAGUACGAGAGGACCGGGGUGGACUGGCCGCUGGUGGAUCUGUUGUAUUACCAAAUGCAUAGCAGAGUAGCCAAGCCGGGACGGGAUAAACGCUGAAGGCAUCUAAGCGUGAAGCCCCCCUCAAGAUGAGAUAUCCCAUUCGAAAGAAGUAAGACCCCUUGAAGACGACGAGGUAGAUAGGGCAGAGGUGGAAGUGCAGCAAUGUACGGAGCUGACUGUCACUAAUCGGUCGAGGGCUUAUCCAG